AGGAAUACAUGGGAAUCUGCCCAGUCGUGGGGAUAACGUAGGGAAACUUACGCUAAUACCGCAUGCGCCCUUCGGGGGGAAAGCCGGGGACCUUCGGGCCUGGCGCGAUUGGAUGAGCCCAUGUCGGAUUAGCUAGUUGGCGGGGUAAUGGCCCACCAAGGCGACGAUCCGUAGCUGGUCUGAGAGGAUGAUCAGCCACACUGGAACUUGAGACACGGUUCCAGACUCCUUACGGGAGGCAGCAGUAGGGAAUAUUUGGACAAUGGGCGCAAGCCUGAUCCAGCCAUUGCCGCGUUGAGUGUAAGAAGGCCCUCGGGUUGUAAAGCUCUUUUGUCCGGAAAGAAAAGCGCCGGGUUAAUACCCUGGUGUCCUGACGGUACCGGAAGAAUAAGCACCGGCUAACUUCGUG
Molecule: ribosomal RNA, 409 nt
Filed under: uncultured bacterium
Lineage: Bacteria
Description: bacterial SSU rRNA
Rfam family: Bacterial small subunit ribosomal RNA
Source: RNAcentral